This 29-nucleotide non-coding RNA is filed under the name Mus musculus (house mouse). The record is from RNAcentral. Lineage: Eukaryota; Metazoa; Chordata; Mammalia; Rodentia; Muridae.
UGGUCAAGAUCAUAGACAUUAGGGGCAUG